This 561-nucleotide long non-coding RNA is filed under the name Brassica napus (rape). RNAcentral's name for it is "long non-coding RNA (BNAP_LNC023814)". Lineage: Eukaryota; Viridiplantae; Streptophyta; Magnoliopsida; Brassicales; Brassicaceae. The record is from RNAcentral.
AAAUUUUCUGUAAAUGUUAGCUAUAUUACAACGUGGUUUUGAUAAUUAUUUUACCAAAAAAAAAAAAAAAUCUGAGAAAGACAAAUUAUUGAAAAUAAAAAUUCCAUAACAUUAAAAAUUUAUAAACAUAGUUUAAACUUGAACAGCAAUUUAAAUGGAAAAAAUCCUAGCAAGUGCCGUAGAUAAAGCAAACUAGUUUGUGUUGAAGCAGAAAGCCUCCACAGCUUCGACUUGUUUCUUAAGGACUUCAUACUCAUCACAACUCUUUUGCAAGUCAGCUUCAAGCUCUUCCACUCUAUGGGUUAUUGUUCCCACUUAUGCAUUACCCAGUGGAUAACUAUUGUACUAUUCGGUGAGUACACGAUUGUACUAUUGUUUAAAGAAUUGGUGAGCACACGAUUCAAUGCAAACAUUGAUAAUGAGUUUCUAAUCUUUCAACCUAUACGAAUUUGAAGAUAUAUUACAAACAAGAAACCCAUACACAAUAAGAAUUAACGGUGACGGAAAAAAAAUUGGAACACCACUAGAUCCGGCAAGAGGAAAAGAUUCCAGAGAGGGUUU